UACGUAGGGGGCAAGCGUUGUCCGGAAUCAUUGGGCGUAAAGAGCGUGUAGGCGGUCCGGUAAGUCGGCUGUGAAAGUCCAGGGCUCAACCCUGGGAUGCCGGUCGAUACUGCCGGACUAGAGUUCGGAAGAGGCGAGUGGAAUUCCCGGUGUAGCGGUGAAAUGCGCAGAUAUCGGGAGGAACACCAAUGGCGAAGGCAGCUCGCUGGGACGGUACUGACGCUGAGACGCGAAAGCGUGGGGAGCGAACAGG
Molecule: ribosomal RNA, 253 nt
Filed under: uncultured bacterium
Lineage: Bacteria
Description: partial 16S ribosomal RNA
Rfam family: Bacterial small subunit ribosomal RNA
Source: RNAcentral